CGGGACGUGGCGCAGUCCGGUAGCGCACUUGACUGGGGGUCAAGGGGCCGGAGGUUCAAAUCCUCUCGUUCCGA
Molecule: transfer RNA, 74 nt
Filed under: Fidelibacterota bacterium
Lineage: Bacteria; Pseudomonadati; Fidelibacterota
Description: tRNA-Pro
Rfam family: tRNA
About the family: Transfer RNA (tRNA) molecules are approximately 80 nucleotides in length.
Source: RNAcentral